This 272-nucleotide ribosomal RNA is filed under the name uncultured bacterium. RNAcentral's name for it is "partial small subunit ribosomal RNA". It matches the Rfam family "Bacterial small subunit ribosomal RNA", at positions 26 to 285 of the family's 1533-position model. The record is from RNAcentral.
AGAAUCAACGCUGGCGGCGUGCCUAACACAUGCAAGUCGAACGCGAAAGUCCCGAAAGGGAUUAGUAGAGUGGCAAACGGGUGAGUAACACGUGGGUGACCUGCCUUCGAGUGGGGGAUAACGUCCCGAAAGGGACGCUAAUACCGCAUGACAUCCUGCCUUUGAAGAGGUGGAGCUUAAAGCCGGGGAUCGCAAGACCUGGCGCUUGAAGAGGGGCCCGCGCCUGAUUAGCUAGUUGGUGAGGUAAUGGCUCACCAAGGCAUCGAUCAGUA